GAUGAACGCUGGCGGCGUGCCUAAUACAUGCAAGUCGAGCGAACAGACGAGGAGCUUGCUCCUCUGACGUUAGCGGCGGACGGGUGAGUAACACGUGGAUAACCUACCUAUAAGACUGGGAUAACUUCGGGAAACCGGAGCUAAUACCGGAUAAUAUAUUUAACCGCAUGGUUCAAUAGUGAAAGACGGUUUUGCUGUCACUUAUAGAUGGAUCCGCGCCGCAUUAGCUAGUUGGUAAGGUAACGGCUUACCAAGGCAACGAUGCGUAGCCGACCUGAGAGGGUGAUCGGCCACACUGGAACUGAGACACGGUCCAGACUCCUACGGGAGGCAGCAGUAGGGAAUCUUCCGCAAUGGGCGAAAGCCUGACGGAGCAAUGCCGCGUGAGUGAUGAAGGUCUUCGGAUCGUAAAACUCUGUUAUUAGGGAAGAACAAAUGUGUAAGUAACUAUGCACGUCUUGACGGUACCUAAUCAGAAAGCCACGGCUAACUACGUG
RNAcentral lists this ribosomal RNA (497 nucleotides) under uncultured bacterium. Its description in RNAcentral is "partial 16S ribosomal RNA". It matches the Rfam family "Bacterial small subunit ribosomal RNA", at positions 28 to 507 of the family's 1533-position model. The record is from RNAcentral.